RNAcentral lists this small RNA (568 nucleotides) under Pongo abelii (Sumatran orangutan). Its description in RNAcentral is "processed transcript". The record is from RNAcentral. Lineage: Eukaryota; Metazoa; Chordata; Mammalia; Primates; Hominidae.
GUCGGCCCCUGCGGGCCGCUCGCCGUCGCCGUGGAAACGAAAGAGGCCAAGUAGCGCUCCGCCCUGACACGCCGGCUCCGGUGGGCUCCAGCCGGCUACGCCGCGGCGGACAACGAUGCUGAAGGCCAAGAUCCUCUUCGUGGGGCCUUGCGAGGUUCGAGUCCUGCUGGCCAGCCCUGAUGAAGGAUGCUCAUGGAGUGGUGAUCGUCUUCAAUGCUGACAUCCCAAGCCACAGGAAGGAAAUGGAGAUGUGGUAUUCCUGCUUUGUCCAACAGCCGUCCUUACAGGACACACAGUGUAUGCUAAUUGCACACCACAAACCAGGCUCUGGAGAUGAUAAAGGAAGCCUGUCUUUGUCGCCACCCUUGAACAAGCUGAAGCUGGUGCACUCAAACCUGGAAGAUGACCCUGAGGAGAUCCGGAUGGAAUUCAUAAAGUAUUUAAAAAGCAUAAUCAACUCCAUGUCUGAGAGCAGAGACAGGGAGGAGAUGUCAAUUAUGACCUAGCCAGCCUUCACCUGGGACUGCCACAUCCCCAGUGAAAUCAGCAUGUUUCUCGGUGCAGAUCU